RNAcentral lists this long non-coding RNA (351 nucleotides) under Gossypium barbadense (sea-island cotton). Its description in RNAcentral is "long non-coding RNA (GBAR_LNC018777)". The record is from RNAcentral. Lineage: Eukaryota; Viridiplantae; Streptophyta; Magnoliopsida; Malvales; Malvaceae.
UUUAAUCCUUUAAAAAUUAUAAAGAUAUAGACUAUAAAAAAAUUAAAAUUUCAUUCGGCCCCCUCUUAAAUAAUUGUUCUGGCUUCGCCCUUGGCUUAGGAUCUUUGAACAACUCUCGAAGCUCACUAUGAUACCAAUUGAAAAAUCUCUCUUUUCAUUCCAACCGUCAUUAGAACAAAAAUGAAUAGAAAGAUUAAAUGCAAAGUAACACAAUGAGCAAAGUAAGAAGAGAAUUAACACACGAUAUUUGUUAAUGCAAUUUAGACACAACAGUCCUAUGUUACACAAAGAAGUAAUUGCAACCCUAAUACUAACCCCAGUAGUCACAAAUCACUCUCCCAAAUACCUCAU